This 98-nucleotide microRNA precursor is filed under the name Marmota monax (woodchuck). The record is from RNAcentral. Lineage: Eukaryota; Metazoa; Chordata; Mammalia; Rodentia; Sciuridae.
AGUGCAAUUGUUGGAUUGUUAGUAUGUUUAUUUUUUUUAAAAAAAAUCCUAAACUGUUUUCCAGAGUGGCUGUAUCAUUUUAUGUUUCCACCAACAAU